UACGUAGGGUGCGGGCGUUGUCCGGAAUUAUUGGGCGUAAAGAGCUCGUAGGCGGUCUGUCGCGUCUGCUGUGAAAUCCCGAGGCUCAACCUCGGGCUUGCAGUGGGUACGGGCAGGCUAGAGUGCGGUAGGGGAGAAUGGAACUCCUGGUGUAGCGGUGGAAUGCGCAGAUAUCAGGAAGAACACCGAUGGCGAAGGCAGUUCUCUGGGCCGUAACUGACGCUGAGGAGCGAAAGCGUGGGGAGCGAACAGG
RNAcentral lists this ribosomal RNA (253 nucleotides) under uncultured bacterium. Its description in RNAcentral is "partial 16S ribosomal RNA". It matches the Rfam family "Bacterial small subunit ribosomal RNA", at positions 524 to 776 of the family's 1533-position model. The record is from RNAcentral.